GAUAUACAUAAGAACCUAAGAACUUCCUUACUCGGUCAGACCAAAGGUCCAUCUAGCCCAGUAUCCUGCCUUCCGACAGUGGCCAAUGCCAGGUACCCCAGACGGAAUGAACAGAACAGGUAAUCAUCAGGCGAUCCAGCUCCUGUCGCCCGUUCUGAGCUUCUGACAAAACCUGAAU
Molecule: long non-coding RNA, 178 nt
Organism: Chelonia mydas (Green sea turtle)
Lineage: Eukaryota; Metazoa; Chordata; Testudines; Cheloniidae
Exons: 3
Source: RefSeq, a predicted model, not a curated record